RNAcentral lists this ribosomal RNA (450 nucleotides) under uncultured bacterium. Its description in RNAcentral is "bacterial SSU rRNA". It matches the Rfam family "Bacterial small subunit ribosomal RNA", at positions 354 to 796 of the family's 1533-position model. The record is from RNAcentral.
GUAGGGAAUAUUGCGCAAUGGACGAAAGUCUGACGCAGCAACGCCGCGUGGGUGAUGAAGCAUUUCGGUGUGUAAAACCCUGUCAGUGGGGAAGAACCGUGCGAGGAGUCACUGCCUUGCACCUGACGGUACCCACAGAGGAAGUCCCGGCUAACUCCGUGCCAGCAGCCGCGGUAAUACGGGGGGGACAAGCGUUGUUCGGAUUUACUGGGCGUAAAGGGCGCGUAGGCGGACCGACAAGUCGGGUGUGAAACCUGCCAGCUUAACUGGCAGCCUGCAUUUGAUACUGUCGGCCUUGAGUACAGGAGAGGAGAAUGGAAUUCCAGGUGUAGCGGUGAAAUGCGUAGAUAUCUGGAAGAACACCGGUAGCGAAGGCGGUUCUCUGGACUGAUACUGACGCUUAAGCGCGAAGGCUUGGGGAGCAAACAGGAUUAGAAACCCCUGUAGUCC